RNAcentral lists this ribosomal RNA (460 nucleotides) under uncultured bacterium. RNAcentral's name for it is "partial 16S ribosomal RNA". It matches the Rfam family "Bacterial small subunit ribosomal RNA", at positions 338 to 795 of the family's 1533-position model. The record is from RNAcentral.
CCUACGGGUGGCUGCAGUGAGGAAUAUUGGUCAAUGGGCGUAAGCCUGCACCAGCCAAGUCGCGUGAGGGAUGAAGGUUCUAUGGAUCGUAAACCUCUUUUAUAAGGGAAUACAGUGUGGGACGUGUACUGUUUUGUAUGUAUCUUAUGAAUAAGGAUCGGCAAACUCCGUGCCAGCAGCCGAGGUAAUACGGAGGAUCCGAGCGUUAUCCGGAUUUAUUGGGUUUAAAGGGUGCGUAGGCGGCCUUUUAAGUCAGCGGUGAAAGUAUGUGGCUCAACCAUAUAAUUGCCGUUGAAACUGGGAGGCUUGAUGAUGUUUGAGGCAGGCGGAAUGCGUGGUGUAGAGGUGAAAUGCUUAGAUAUCACGCAGAACCCCGAUUGCGAAGGCAGCCUGCCAAGCCAUGACUGACGCUGAUGCACGAAAGCGUGGGGAUCAAACAGGAUUAGAUACCCUUGUAGUC